AAAAAUUUGUUAAUUUCCAAAUCCAGCAUCAACAGAGUGACAGUUUUUACUCGACAGCCAAAUCUCUGGAAGAAAAAAGAAAAGACAGGAAAAAACCCUAAAAUAACCUUACAAAAUACCCAAGCCUUCCAGCAUCAUCAAGGGCAAACACUGUCUGCAGAAACCAAUUUCAUGCCAAAUCUCCUAACUCUGAUACAAAAGAAAGUGUCUCCGCUUCAAGUGAUGAUUCAACAUCAUCCAACAACUACUUUCUUGUCUUUCCUUUGCCCUCUUCUCAAGCUUUUCUCUGUAAGUGUCUUUAACAACUCCUAGCUAAAGAAAUGAACAUUUUUAAUUUCACUUUGUAAACAUUAGACUUCAAAAUUGGAUGAUGUAGAAACUUUCAUGUUAUAUACUAAACUGGAUUGGGACAUGAAAAUUUUGAUCUUGGCUAUAAAGGGAGAUGAUCCCUAUCGAGAACGGAAUUAUACUUUGAAGGAGGGUCUGAGAGGCGAUGCAAGAUUGAGCUAAGAUCUUUCUGUAGAGGUGAGGAAUAACCUUACAUUGAUUUCAUUUUGCUUGGUUAUGUCAUGUCGAUGUAGGUUGUAGCCUUGUAGGGGAGGUAAAUUGAUGUCUUAUUAUCCCAAGAAAGUCUCACCGUUCACAUUUGAACUUUCAAUUGUAAGCAAAGCUCUUAAGCUCACAUUCCCUUCAAAUUUCAUGGGAUUUAUGUGUUGGCACGAAGAAGAUUGUGGCAUUUUUCGACCCUUUUUCUGCUAAACUUAUGAUCAGCCAAAUUAAGAGUA
Molecule: long non-coding RNA, 785 nt
Organism: Populus euphratica (Euphrates poplar)
Lineage: Eukaryota; Viridiplantae; Streptophyta; Magnoliopsida; Malpighiales; Salicaceae
Exons: 3
Source: RefSeq, a predicted model, not a curated record